This 468-nucleotide ribosomal RNA is filed under the name uncultured bacterium. Its description in RNAcentral is "partial 16S ribosomal RNA". It matches the Rfam family "Bacterial small subunit ribosomal RNA", at positions 28 to 507 of the family's 1533-position model. The record is from RNAcentral.
GACGAACGCUGGCGGCGUGCUUAACACAUGCAAGUCGAACGGAAAGGCCCUGCUUUUGGGGGGUGCGCGAGUGGCGAACGGGUGAGUAACACGUGAGUAACCUGUCCUUAACCGUGGGGUAACUUCAGAAAAGUUAAGGUAAUACCGGAUAGGAGCUACUGCUGCAGGGUGGGGGUUGGAAAGUUUCGGCUGUUGGGGAUGGACUGGCGGCUUAUCAGCUUGUUGGUUGGGUAGUGGCUUACCACGGUCUUGACAGGUAGCCGGCCUGGGCGGAUGGCCGGCGCCAUUGCGCCUGGGCUACGGCCCAGCCUCGUCCGGUAGGCAGCGGUGGAGAAUAUUACACAGUGCGCGGAACCCUAGUGCGAUCCCGCCGCGUGCGGUAUGUCGGGCUUCGCGUAGUGAACCGCUUCCGCUUGUCACGAGGCGUGAGUGACGGUACCGGGUAAAGAAGCACCGGCUAACUACGUG